UGAGGAAUAUUGGUCAAUGGGCGGGAGCCUGAACCAGCCAAGUAGCGUGCGGGAUGAAGGCCCUUGUGGUCGUAAACCGCUUUUAUCAGUGAAUAAAGUGCACCACGUGUGGUGUCAUUGCAGGUAGCUGAAGAAAAAGGACCGGCUAAUUCCGUGCCAGCAGCCGCGGUAAUACGGAAGGUCCGGGCGUUAUCCGGAAUUAUUGGGUUUAUAGGGAGCUCANGGGGAGCUCAGGCGGGUUUUAUAAGUCAGCUGUUAAAUAUCAAAGCCCCACUCUGUUAUGGAAUUGAAAACUAUAUUUCUUGAGUACGCACAGGGAUGGCGGAAUUCAGGGUGGAGCGGUGAAAUGCUUAGAUAUCCUGAAGAACUCCGAUCGCGAAGGCAGCCAUCCGGAGCGUAACUGACGCUGAGGCUCGAAGGUGCGGGUAUCGAACAGGAUUAGAUACCCUGGUAGUCCGCACGGUAAACGAUGAAUACUCGCAGUUCGGCCGUUUAUGGUCGAGUUGUCUAGCGAAAGCGUUAAGUAUUCCACCUGGGGAGUACGCCGGCAACGGUG
This 556-nucleotide ribosomal RNA is filed under the name uncultured bacterium. Its description in RNAcentral is "bacterial SSU rRNA". It matches the Rfam family "Bacterial small subunit ribosomal RNA", at positions 355 to 896 of the family's 1533-position model. The record is from RNAcentral.